RNAcentral lists this unclassified non-coding RNA (533 nucleotides) under Hevea brasiliensis (rubber tree). Lineage: Eukaryota; Viridiplantae; Streptophyta; Magnoliopsida; Malpighiales; Euphorbiaceae. The record is from RNAcentral.
GAUAUCAAUCUUAAGUCUAGCUGCAGCACCGGAAACUUCGACUUGCGAUUCGACAUGAUGAAGACAUUAUCCUUUCGAUCAAUCAAGGUAGGUGUAUCUUCAGCUCCAUUGUCAUUCUCCAAGUGGAAAACAUCAUGCAACUGGAAUGACUUUUCCUCCUUUGUCUCAUUCUUCUUGGGCUUGACCCUUGCAACAGUUUCCAAAACAGCCUCUUGCUCCGCCACGCUAUUGUUGAAGCUUCUGUGAUCAGUUACAUCUGUCUUGUCGUCAGUUUCAUUGAACUCCUUUUCGAGAGCUUUAUCGAUCAUUGUAGCAAAGGUAGAUCUAGACGAGUUGAACUCAGAAGAAUUCAAGACAUCAUUUACAUCUUGAGGCUUCACAUCACGAUCAGCAUCAGCAUCAGAGAGGACGCAUUGCAAAGAGAAAGGGAGAAUGAGGAGAAGGAAGAGCACUGGCACUCGCAUUUGCAUUUUGGUUAGGUUAGAGAGAGAAAACUCUGAUGAGGGUUUUAGAGAGAGAAGGAGGGUUGUAAC